AAAGGUUCAUUAUAUGCAAAGCAGAGGAUCCAUUUGGGCACCAGUUAAUUCUUCCAAGGCAAAAAGUCAACAAAUAUCCUUCAUUGUUCUUAUUUUUCUUCUUCUACCUCUCAAAGGCUCCACUCUGCCUGACUUAUGCCACAGACACCCCUGGUGCUUGCUUGUCUUAAUGUUGGCAAGGAAAUUGCAUGUUUUUACUUCUGGCUGAGUCUGUCUCUCCCUGCUCGAGGUUACUAUCGGGCAAAUCUUCAGAGGGAGUGUAUGGUUCUGCUUUGCAUUACUGAGUGCUGUACUGGAGAAGAUGAUGUCAUUGUAUGCAUUUAACCAUCAUUUACAUCUUCAUUUAGAUUUCCUUUUAACUGCUUUUGGCAAAAUUGUAAUGCAACCUAUUCCUCUCCUCAAAGUUACCUCUGGGUAAUUUUUAUGGGUCUCCCUGGUAUUCUCUGUAUGAAUGAGUCUUGUGUUACACACAAAUCACAUACUGAUACUGCAUGAAUUUAAGUAUGAAAGCAUUACCUCUAAUGCGAUUUUUGAUUUUGGAUCCAGCAUAACUGUUUGAAAGAGACUUAGGAAACCUCUAGACCAACACAAACCGUUGUUUCAGAGCUGGCAAUAAGUGAUGGAAAAACAGUCAGUCAAAUAAAACGAGGCCUCUAUUUGCAAUCUUUUGAGCCAUUAGAGUGAGUAUUGCUUUCCACUGGAACUGACAUUUUGUUGAUACUUCAUCGGACUGGAUGCUCUGAUGGCAAGGAAGAUUAAAACAGAAGAAACGGAGCUCAUGAUUGGAAUGUGUGAGAGGUGCAAACAUUUGAAGUCUUUUUAAGGCUUAAUUUAACAGGAGGAAAGAAUUUUGAUUCAUUCUGCUAUCAAAAUUUGGAGCAGCUUUUUAAGGGUCCAAUCAUGAAACUAGACCCAUGCAAACAGACUCCUAAAUGUAUUGACUAAAAUUUUAGUGUGUGACAAAUGAGGAAUUGGGAGUUAAUUUUUAACCUCGUGUACACUUACAACUUCGUGGUUACACGUUUGCAAUUACUUGAUCUACCAAAUUCUAGGUGAAAACAGCAAUCAACAUGUAUAAAACACUUUCAUAUGAUGCAGGGACUGUCUUUUUGUUCUGUUUGUACAGCGCCUAGCGCAUUGGCAUCCUGGUCCAUGAUUGGGAUUUCUGGGCAUUACUGCAAUUCAAAUAUAUGUUGUAAAAAUCACCAUAACUAAUUUCAAAGUGUUUGAGGUGCUUCAAGAUGGAAAUAUAAACCUAGUGUAAAACAUCACAAAGAGUGCAAAGUUAACAGACAAAAUUAGUGCAAGAUAAUAACAAUGAAACAGUUCUACGAUCCCAUACCUGGAAAACUGCAGUUUGUUUCUAACAAUGGAUUUGUGAGUUACCAGUUCCUGUUAUUGCUCCGAAAGAAUCUUUUGUAGUGUGAUUAAAAACAAUGGAAUGUAUUUCUGCUAUGUGAACAGUGGAUACAGUCUUAAGCCCACAUUUGGCAGUUGUCUUUAAUGGGGUCCUGUGUAGGCACAGUUCUAUUCAGGUUCUCAGACUGCACCCAUCACCAUGACAUUUGAGUAUACUUGAGGACCACAUGGGCUGCCUCUAGUCCGUAAGCGGUA
Chelonoidis abingdonii (Abingdon island giant tortoise) is the source of this 1614-nucleotide long non-coding RNA. RefSeq lists it as uncharacterized. The record is from RefSeq and is a predicted model, not a curated record. NCBI's taxonomy places the organism in Eukaryota, Metazoa, Chordata, Testudines, Testudinidae.